AGACAUCUGCAUACAACGACGAAAUCGUGAAUGGACCCUUAAAGUCGAAUGUCAUCGCAUCAGUAGAAGACGUCGGCGAAAAUGUACUAUUCCUAUAAAAUUAUAAUCCUAUCUUGUUGCUAUUUACUAUUGAACUAGUUAUCAGACACAAAAGAGCUUUUUUGCAUCGUGCUUGAUAGAUUUAACAAUUGAAGGAUUUUCUGGAAGUUCAGAACAGGAGAGUAAAUACAAUUUUAGACCUAAGCAGGAGCAGUUACGAAAAAGGCAGCAAAAGAAAAUGCCCCUUACAGAAAUCGUGCGGCUCUGGGAUUUCGGAGUAGCGCUCAGAUUAGCUGUGGUAUACAUAGCUGGGGGUACAUACUCUAAUUAUCGAGAUCUCAGUUAGUUAGGGCCCUGCCCCUCAAUCGCCAGACCGCAGGUUCGAUUCCUGCCAGAGGGCAUAUUUCCUGUCAGUAGUUGCAUUUUUCGCUUCUGCUACUGGUUAUAGGUCUAAAAAUUGUACAGUAUAGAAUCUUCUACUCGAAAUUCCCAAGCAUCUACAAUUUAAAAUCCUUCAACUGCUUAUGAGGCAUUUGAUUAAGCUAUUGUUAUAAUUAAUUUGUAUAAAUUCAGUAGUGAAAAAUGGCUUUCAUGCAAGCGUUCUGAUAGGGUCCCUAAGCAGUCACUCUGAGGCAAUAGUUAUUGCCGAGACUGCCCUGAGUAGUAACUAUCGCUUUCAAAACAAAAUGGCUGCCGAAAAUCAACUAUAUGCAUUUCCUUUUUUUGUCUGCACGAGUAUACCUGUUUGUUAAAGCCAAAAUAUUGCACAGCAUCUCCCAUAAAUUCUAUCGCCAUUAGCCCUCGCCCCUUGAAUGCAAAGGAAUGAUAGCCAAAAAGGUUUAGCAAAGUAUUUUUUAUUAAUCUGAUAUAAAGUGUCCCUACGUUUUAUCAGAGGGAUAAAAGUAUAUACGAUAAACAUUAAAGUUGAUUUAAAUGUUGGUAACUCACAGCGGCAUUAUACAAGUCUAAAGAAGCUGGAUUUUUAAAGGACAUUGGCACCCAAAAUUUUUAUUACUUAUAUCUAUUAGGUAUACUUGCGGAAUAUCUAAUUUCAUAUUUUGGCCGGUUUGUCGCGUUUAGUUGUUGAGAAAAUUUGAUGAAAAGUUCAACAGUUGUCCGCCAUUUUGAAAAUAAGCGCGUAUGCUAAUUUAUGCCACAAAAUAUAUUAUCUGACGUCAUUUGCUGGGUAAACACAAUUUCAUGACUAUAAACAAUACCGAGUAUUGCCGCGCGUAGUGUAUUUUGAGCCGAAACAAAAGGCAGCAAAGUUUUACCAAGUAUGUAACUUGUUUGUAACACUAUUUCUCAUAGUAUAUAUCCUACUCCGUGUUAAAUAAACGCAGAAAUUCGAGUGUAACAAGACAAAUACUAAUGCAAUAUUUUAUGAUCAAUUACCUGUAUUGUAAAUUGNNNNNNNNNNNNNNNNNNNNUAUGUAACUUGUUUGUAACACUAUUUCUCAUAGUAUAUAUCCUACUCCGUGUUAAAUAAACGCAGAAAUUCGAGUGUAACAAGACAAAUACUAAUGCAAUAUUUUAUGAUCAAUUACCUGUAUUGUAAAUUGCGCCAUUCCUUGCUUUCCCAGUCGCUCGAUAUGUUUUUAUCUGAUAGUGUAGACUUAUCUUGUUUGAUUGCGAAGAGUGUUGGCCAGUAUAACGCUCAAAACGACAUAUUUUUGGCUAACAUAACACGCACGCAAUAGAAUUCUCUCUUGUAGUUUUGGUGCUACCCAUCCAAUGACGUCACAAAGUUCAUUGACCUUCGAGAUAAUUUUUCAAACAAUAUUUCCAAGAUGGCGGCGAAACACAAAGUUUGCAUGCAUUUUACUCGUAGACUAAAAUGUUUGAGAACGAAAUGACAAUAUUUUCAUAGUUAGGUCGUCAAGUAGGAUUGAAAUAGCCAAUAAAAAUUUUCGGUGCCAUUGUCCUUUAAGCUGGAUUAUUCUUCAAGUAAAGCCCUCAAUGACAAUGGGCAAUGCCAAUGCCAAUGAAAAGUCUUUAUAAGAUUUAUAAUGUACCCGCUGUAAAUUACGGUAAUACACGAAAUAUAAAAUAAUAUACUAUAAAGUACAAUACCAGUGUCUGGUGCAUAUAUCGUCCUAGAUAU
RNAcentral lists this long non-coding RNA (2143 nucleotides) under Paramuricea clavata. The record is from RNAcentral. Lineage: Eukaryota; Metazoa; Cnidaria; Anthozoa; Malacalcyonacea; Plexauridae.